ACUAACUAGGGAUUCACUUGGGCUGCUACUCAAAUGGGAAUAACACGGAGAAGAUUAGCAUAGCCCCUGUGCAAGGAUGACAUGCAAAUUCGUGAAGCGUUCCAUAAUUUU
Molecule: small nuclear RNA, 111 nt
Organism: Carcharodon carcharias (great white shark)
Lineage: Eukaryota; Metazoa; Chordata; Chondrichthyes; Lamniformes; Lamnidae
Source: RefSeq, a predicted model, not a curated record